UUUAGAUUACCAGUGCAUUUAGCGUUCUUCAAGCCAAAUACCUUUUAGAUUCUUUACACCCUUGGCUGAAGAAAAUCUCUUCUUUUUUUUUUGUUUGCAAGGGAAUGUUUAUUGUAUCUUUCAUCGAGGUGUCCUUCAAGUUGAAAUUUCUUGCUCAUAAAUCCUGUAUCAUUAAUAAAUCUUUUUCUUUCUUGAAGGAAAGUCAUUAGUUUCUUCAAGAUACAAAACAUUCAUACAAUAUAUUUCUUAGCUAGAUGACUCAACAUAAGAUAUGACAAUAAUUGAAUAUUAAGUCACUUUACUUAAGAGAUUGUCUAAAUAUAAGCAAGCACAAGUCACUUGAACUAAAGAGAUAAUUUUAUUAAAUAAUAUGGUUCAAGGACACCCAUGUGAGGCAAUAGGAAGAUUUAUCAAAGUCAAACCAAUUUUUUUUUAUUUCAGAAGCAAUUUAGCUUAGAUUCUAUUUGCUUAAAAUAAUUAUCAAUAAGAUAUACCAGUUAAGUUU
Molecule: long non-coding RNA, 505 nt
Filed under: Phoenix dactylifera (date palm)
Lineage: Eukaryota; Viridiplantae; Streptophyta; Magnoliopsida; Arecales; Arecaceae
Description: long non-coding RNA (PDAC_LNC020656)
Source: RNAcentral